AGCGAACGCUGGCGGCAGGCUUAACACAUGCAAGUCGAGCGGGCACCUUUCGGGGUGUCAGCGGCGGACGGGUGAGUAACGCGUGGGAACGUGCCCUCUGGUUCGGAAUAACUCAGGGAAACUUGAGCUAAUACCGGAUACGCCCUUUUGGGGAAAGGCUUGCUGCCGGAGGAUCGGCCCGCGUCUGAUUAGCUAGUUGGUGAGGUAACGGCUCACCAAGGCGACGAUCAGUAGCUGGUCUGAGAGGAUGAUCAGCCACACUGGGACUGAGACACGGCCCAGACUCCUACGGGAGGCAGCAGUGGGGAAUAUUGGACAAUGGGCGCAAGCCUGAUCCAGCCAUGCCGCGUGAGUGAUGAAGGCCUUAGGGUUGUAAAGCUCUUUUAUCCGGGACGAUAAUGACGGUACCGGAGGAAUAAGCCCCGGCUAACGUCGUGC
This 438-nucleotide ribosomal RNA is filed under the name uncultured bacterium. RNAcentral's name for it is "partial 16S ribosomal RNA". It matches the Rfam family "Bacterial small subunit ribosomal RNA", at positions 29 to 508 of the family's 1533-position model. The record is from RNAcentral.